UCUGACGGAGCACGCCGCGUGAGUGAUGAAGGUUUUCGGAUCGUAAAGCUCUGUUGUUAGGGAAGAACAAGUGCCGUUCAAAUAGGGCGGCACCUUGACGGUACCUAACCAGAAAGCCACGGCUAACUACGUGCCAGCAGCCGCGGUAAUACGUAGGUGGCAAGCGUUGUCCGGAAUUAUUGGGCGUAAAGGGCUCGCAGGCGGUUUCUUAAGUCUGAUGUGAAAGCCCCCGGCUCAACCGGGGAGGGUCAUUGGAAACUGGGGAACUUGAGUGCAGAAGAGGAGAGUGGAAUUCCACGUGUAGCGGUGAAAUGCGUAGAGAUGUGGAGGAACACCAGUGGCGAAGGCGACUCUCUGGUCUGUAACUGACGCUGAGGAGCGAAAGCGUGGGGAGCGAACAGGAUUAGAUACC
Molecule: ribosomal RNA, 412 nt
Filed under: Bacillus sp. (in: firmicutes)
Lineage: Bacteria; Bacillati; Bacillota; Bacilli; Caryophanales; Bacillaceae
Description: bacterial SSU rRNA
Rfam family: Bacterial small subunit ribosomal RNA
Source: RNAcentral